UGGUAUUUUGGCCAUUUGGCACAAACCCGUAGAUCCGAUCUUGUGGAAAAUCUGACGGCACAAGCUCGCCUCUGUGGGUCUCUGUCAGUGUGGUGUGAACACCG
Molecule: non-coding RNA, 104 nt
Organism: Oryzias latipes (Japanese medaka)
Lineage: Eukaryota; Metazoa; Chordata; Actinopteri; Beloniformes; Adrianichthyidae
Gene: mir99
Product: microRNA mir-99
Source: RefSeq, marked provisional